AUGGAUCUCAUGGAUCCCUUCACCUCCGAGCUUCUUUCUGGCCCUCCUAUCCCCGUCGCCUUAUCAGCCAACAGCGCCGACACGGCGGACAUCGACGACUACCUCCGCCCCAUCAAUGCUCUUCCUGCGCUUCGAGCCGCCGACCACUACUCCGAGGCGGCCUUGGAGGAGCCCGUACCAUCCCUGCUCCUGGAGACCGCCGUCCCGGUCUCCGAUGCCACUGAAUCCAACAACUCGGCCACGCGUCCGCAGCUCUCCGACUACGACGCCGACAUUGACUUCAACCUCCGCAAGCUGGAGAUGAACGUCGAGGAGCCGCCGAGGCCAGACUACCUGAAGACGGUGCAGGGAGAUCGGAUGAGCCCGUCCAUGCGCGCCAACCUUGUUAUCUGGAUGGACGGGCUUACUCGGUACUACGGCCUGGCCCCCGGCACGCUUCACCGCGCCGUCUCCUACGUCGACCGCGUGCUAUCAGCGCGAACCUUACCUACGACUAACAUGGAGUAUGAGCUCCAUCUCCUGGGCGCCACGGCCGCCUUCACCGCCGCCAAAUAUGAGGAGCGGGACACCAUAUUCAAGGUGGACGCCGCGAAAAUUGCCAACGACUGUGGGUUCGCCACGAGCAAGGAGGUGAUCGACGUGGAGUGCAAGAUGUUGGCGGUGCUCCGGUACGAGCUCAGCGAACCAACGGCCUACACCUUUGUGGACCACUUCACCAGGUACAGUAAUGGAGAGAGCGACCUGGAGGUUCAGAAGUUGGCGCAUCAGCUCGCCGAACAAUCGCUCGUCCACUACAGAUGCCUGCGGUUCAUGCCAUCGGCCGUGGCGGCGUCGGCGGUCUUUCUGGCAAGGCUGAUCUUGAACCCAAUGGCGAGCUAG
RNAcentral lists this ribosomal RNA (879 nucleotides) under Triticum aestivum (bread wheat). RNAcentral describes it as "partial small subunit ribosomal RNA". Lineage: Eukaryota; Viridiplantae; Streptophyta; Magnoliopsida; Poales; Poaceae. The record is from RNAcentral.